AACGAACGCUGGCGGCAUGCCUAACACAUGCAAGUCGAACGAGACCUUCGGGUCUAGUGGCGCACGGGUGCGUAACGCGUGGGAACCUGCCCUUAGGUUCGGAAUAACUCCCCGAAAGGGGUGCUAAUACCGGAUAAUGUCUUCGGACCAAGGAUUUAUCGCCUUUGGAUGGGCCCGCGUUGGAUUAGCUAGUUGUUAGGGUAAAAGCCUACCAAGGCGACGAUCCAUAGCUGGUCUGAGAGGAUGAUCAGCCACACUGGGACUGAGACACGGCCCAGACUCCUACGGGAGGCAGCAGUGGGGAAUAUUGGAAAGUGGGCGAAAGGCUGAUCCAGCAAUGCCGCGUGAGUGAUGAAGGCCUUAGAGUUGUAAAGCGCUUUUACCCGGGAUGAUAAUGACAGUACCGGGAGAAUAAGCUACGGCUAACUCCGUG
This 433-nucleotide ribosomal RNA is filed under the name uncultured bacterium. RNAcentral describes it as "partial 16S ribosomal RNA". It matches the Rfam family "Bacterial small subunit ribosomal RNA", at positions 29 to 507 of the family's 1533-position model. The record is from RNAcentral.